UACAGAGGUGGCGAGUGUUGUUCGGAUUUACUGGGCGUAAAGAGUCCGCAGGCGGUCUUGUGUGUCAGAUGUGAAAUGCCACGGCUUAACCGUGGAAUUGCAUUUGAAACUACAGGACUAGAGUACAGGAGGGGAGAUGGGAAUUCAUGGUGUAGCGGUGAAAUGCGUAGAUAUCAUGAGGAACACCGGUGGCGAAAGCGCAUCUCUGGACUGAUACUGACGCUCAUGGACGAAAGCUGGGGGAGCAAACGGAAUUUGAUACUCCUGUAGUCCCGGCCGUAAACGGUGCACACUUGAUGUAGGCGGUUUACCCCCGCCUGUGUCGAAGCUAACGCGUUAAGUGUGCCGCCUGGGAAGUACGGCCGCAAGGUUAAA
This 375-nucleotide ribosomal RNA is filed under the name uncultured bacterium. RNAcentral's name for it is "bacterial SSU rRNA". It matches the Rfam family "Bacterial small subunit ribosomal RNA", at positions 524 to 898 of the family's 1533-position model. The record is from RNAcentral.